Molecule: non-coding RNA, 389 nt
Organism: Leptonychotes weddellii (Weddell seal)
Lineage: Eukaryota; Metazoa; Chordata; Mammalia; Carnivora; Phocidae
Source: RefSeq, a predicted model, not a curated record
CCGUCCUUCCGGAGGCGAGGGCGGCGGGGCGCGCGGUGGCCCUGGCCCUGGUGCUGUUGCUUCCCGCAGGGCCAGCGAGCGCCCUGCUCCGCCUGCAGCCCGGCCUGCCCCACGUGUGUGCCGAACAGGAGCUGACCUUGGUGGGCCGCCGCCAGCCCUGUGUGCAGGCUUUCAGCCGAACCGUGCCCGUGUGGAAGCCGGGCUGUGGGCGGCAGGCGUGGUGCAUCGGCCACGAGCGGAGAACCAUCUACUACACAGGCUACAGGCAGGUGUAUGCCGUGGAGGCCCAGACCGUGUUGAGGUGCUGCCCAGGGUGGAGCCAGCAGCCUGGAGACCAGGGCUGCCUCUCCCGUGAGUGUCCCUCCCCCGACCCUGAAUCAGUGCGUCGG